GACGAACGCUGGCGGCGUGCCUAAUACAUGCAAGUAGAACGCUGAAGGAGGAGCUUGCUUCUCUGGAUGAGUUGCGAACGGGUGAGUAACGCGUAGGUAACCUGCCUGGUAGCGGGGGAUAACUAUUGGAAACGAUAGCUAAUACCGCAUAAUAGUAGAUGUUGCAUGACAUUUGCUUAAAAGGUGCAAUUGCAUCACUACCAGAUGGACCUGCGUUGUAUUAGCUAGUUGGUGGGGUAACGGCUCACCAAGGCGACGAUACAUAGCCGACCUGAGAGGGUGAUCGGCCACACUGGGACUGAGACACGGCCCAGACUCCUACGGGAGGCAGCAGUCGGGAAUCUUCGGCAAUGGACGGAAGUCUGACCGAGCAACGCCGCGUGAGUGAAGAAGGUUUUCGGAUCGUAAAGCUCUGUUGUAAGAGAAGAACGAGUGUGAGAGUGGAAAGUUCACACUGUGACGGUAUCUUACCAGAAAGGGACGGCUAACUACGUG
This 495-nucleotide ribosomal RNA is filed under the name uncultured bacterium. Its description in RNAcentral is "partial 16S ribosomal RNA". It matches the Rfam family "Bacterial small subunit ribosomal RNA", at positions 28 to 507 of the family's 1533-position model. The record is from RNAcentral.